UUUUUUUAUAAGUCGAGUCAGAUGUGUAGGUAAAGGAACCGAGAACAAUUUAAAUUUUUACUCACGUUGGACAACCACAUUAAAAUUCACAGUGAUAGUCCCUACAUCGUUGCUGACCAAACAGGUGUACCGCCCUUUAUCCUGAAGAGCUACAGAGCCGAUACGGAAAACACUGCGACUGGAGGAAGUAGUCAUAUUUGAUGGUAGCGUCCAGGUGUAUGAGGGGCUGGGGUUUCCCACAGCAGCGCAGUUCAGUUGUAGAGGGGUUCCCUCUAAAACAGUAAGGUUAAUCGGAUCUCUAUGGGAUGACCCCUCUCGAUGAGGCUUAUCUGUGUGUUGAUUAAGAGAAAUACAACACCUGUUAUUAAGGGCCCGUGUUAACUUUGAUACUGCCAGCUACAUAAUAUUGACUAGGCUGGAAACACAAGUAGAGAUCUCUUCUACCAGUUUCAUUACUGCAAUUGUGGUCGACCAAUUUGCUCUAAAACCAUAAUGGUCCACCUUAAUGGCAGUGAUGGCUUCUGGUGUUCUAUAUUGAAUCAAUUUGCAGAUUUUUCCAAACCAUUGGCUGCAUUGGGGAGGCAAUGCUGACAAACAGUGCAGUUGGCAGAAGUUCGGUCGCCAUGCUUCACUACCAGUCUGGACGGAGUGAACACAGGUUUAUCUGCACAGUUUUCAUCUGUAACACACAUUAAAUUUGACAUUUACAUCAAACGGCAGAUACAGUUUUAAAGCCAUUGCCAUUCCACACACACUGACAAUCAGAGCUAUUGUAGUUUUGCUUUUGUUCAAUUUUACAUAUUUUCUUUAAGACAAUCUCUUGUUAAUUGCCGAAAUUGUAUGGUGCCAGGCAAAUUGAGAGUAUAAGUACAAUUCAACACUGACAAAAAAAGCAACUGUCCUGGUUUAAUGAAGCAUAUGUAUAUCUUA
Molecule: long non-coding RNA, 930 nt
Organism: Micropterus dolomieu (smallmouth bass)
Lineage: Eukaryota; Metazoa; Chordata; Actinopteri; Centrarchiformes; Centrarchidae
Exons: 5
Source: RefSeq, a predicted model, not a curated record